CGGGGCCCUAAAGAGGGCGUGACGUCACCGCGCGGGGUAUUCAGGGACCCAUCCCCCUCUCCUCUCCUUCCAGGAUCAGAUAAGUGGCUGUGGGUUUGUGAUUACAUUCAUAAGGCUCCUCUCCAGUGUGGGUUCUCUGAAGACCAGUAAGGAGUGAUUUGUAGCAGAAAGCCUUCCCACGUUCAUUACAUUUCUAAAGCACUUCUCUUGUAAGGGUAGUCUGAGGCCCAUCAAGAGCAGAGCUCCAGCCAGAGCCCUUCCCACGCUGAGGACAUGUAUGUCUUUUCAUUCCUGAGUGACAUCGAGGCUGGCAAGGAAGAGGAGCUCAUAGUAUCCUUGGAUUGUGGGAUGGCCUGCAGAACCUCCUAACCUGCCCAGUCUGUGGAAAUUAUCACAAGGAUCCUAUAACAAUGUUUUCUGGCAACACUGUCUGUCAGUCCUGUUAUCCACAAGAAUGCCCACCUGCAGGCCUCAACUGGAGGAUAAGAAGGAUAGUGACCCUGUUCAAGGAGAUGAAACCACUCCUGGAACAGCCCCAACCUGUCCCAGAGGGAUGGUGCCCCAAGCAUGAUGAGCCCUUCACCCUCCUAUGUCAAGAAGACAAUCAAAGAAUCUGCUAUGUCUGCCAAUACUCCUCCCUUCACAGUAAACAUACCCUGACUAAAUUAGAAGACCCAAAAGCAAGAGAAGCUUCCUGUGAAGAGGAGAAUGAGAUCUCCCUGCCACCUCCAGGCCACCAUUGAAUGCUCUUCCACUGGGUCUCCCAAGGGAUAGCAUGCAGGAACCCAAAUCACUGUGUUCACCUCCAUUGGCAUCCUCCAUGGAAAACAAAACUCAGUCCACCAUGGAGGCUGUUCUAAGGAAGAUAGCAGUGCCAUGGGAAGAAAUCCCCAAACUGGAGCUUCUUACCAGACUAGACUCUGAAAUGCUGGUCCUUGCCUGCCCCCUGCAGGUCUCUCUCAUUACUACCUGGAAGAUCUUUUCUGGAGAAGUCAUUUAAUAAAGUUUCUGCUCUACUCUAUUG
Phascolarctos cinereus (koala) is the source of this 1024-nucleotide long non-coding RNA. RefSeq lists it as uncharacterized. The record is from RefSeq and is a predicted model, not a curated record. Lineage: Eukaryota; Metazoa; Chordata; Mammalia; Diprotodontia; Phascolarctidae.